RNAcentral lists this long non-coding RNA (210 nucleotides) under Homo sapiens (human). RNAcentral describes it as "non-protein coding lnc-MLN-2:1". The record is from RNAcentral. Lineage: Eukaryota; Metazoa; Chordata; Mammalia; Primates; Hominidae.
CAGUAGUUUUAUUUUCAUUAAUCCACUGAAAUGCUGUCACAAACUCCUGAACACUUUCUUUCAUGAGGGGCUUCAGGGGGAAGACUGAAGAGAAGUUAUCUUUCUAAUACAGCGCUCUGACAGGCCGACAGAAAAUCUGAUCACUAGAGCAUUGGCCUGCAGACGCUCACCAAUGUCAUAUAUUUAAGGAACAAAAAAAGAAAAGGCUUU